This 212-nucleotide long non-coding RNA is filed under the name Physcomitrium patens. RNAcentral's name for it is "long non-coding RNA (PPAT_LNC014244)". The record is from RNAcentral. Lineage: Eukaryota; Viridiplantae; Streptophyta; Bryopsida; Funariales; Funariaceae.
GAGACGACAUUCCUCCUUUGAAGAAGCUUUUUGGCCUGAAAUUAUUUGACACGUCUCCUCCCACCUCAAGCUCUCCGGUUGGUAAAUGCAAGACCUUGUGUAAGAUAUUCUCAUCUAUCCCAAUCAAGACUCCUCUUACCACAUUCGAACCAUCCUCUCGAUCAUAAUUUUUUAUAUAUUCUGCCAUUCGUUCUACAUCAAUUGGUGGUAGU